This 421-nucleotide ribosomal RNA is filed under the name uncultured bacterium. RNAcentral's name for it is "bacterial SSU rRNA". It matches the Rfam family "Bacterial small subunit ribosomal RNA", at positions 11 to 416 of the family's 1533-position model. The record is from RNAcentral.
GUUUGAUCCUGGCUCAGAGCGAACGUUAGCGGCAGGCUUAACACAUGCAAGUCGAGCGAGAAAGGGGCUUCGGCUCCGAGUAAAAGCGGCGGACGGGUGCGUAACACGUGGAUAAUCUGCCUCGUGGCGGGGGACAACAGUCCGAAAGGACUGCUAAUACCGCAUGUCAGGUCGGAAACUCCGGUUUCUGACGAAAAAGAGGGCGCCCGCAAGGGGCUCUCACCACGAGAUGAGUCCGCGUCCCAUCAGCUAGUUGGCGGUGUAAUAGACCACCAAGGCUUAGACGGGUAGCUGGUCUGAGAGGAUGACCAGCCACACUGGGACUGAGACACGGCCCAGACUCCUACGGGAGGCAGCAGUGGGGAAUAUUGGACAAUGGGCGAAAGCCUGAUCCAGCCAUGCCGCGUGAGUGAUGAAGGCC